CUGGCUCAGGAUGAGCGCUAGCGGCAGGCCUAACACAUGCAAGUCGAGGGGCAGCGCGGGAUAGCAAUAUCCUGGCGGCGACCGGCAGAAGGGUGCGUAACGCGUGACGCGGACAGUGCCCGUCACCGGGGGGACAAGCGCUGGAAACGGCGUCUAAUACCCCAUAUGCCUAGGGAGUGCAUGCUUCCUUGGUGAAAGUUUCGACGGUGACGGAUUGGCUCGCGUCUGAUUAGCUAGUCGGCGGGGUAACGGCCCACCGAGGCGACGAUCAGUAGGGGUUCUGAGAGGAAGGUCCCCCCACACUGGAACUGAGACACGGUCCAGACUCCUACGGGAGGCAGCAGUGAGGAAUAUUGGUCAAUGGGCGGAAGCCUGAACCAGCCAUGCCGCGUGCAGGACUAAAGGCCCUAUGGGUCGUAAACUGCUUUUGCGAUGGAGCAAUAAGGUCCACGUGUGGACCGACGAGAGUACAUCGCGAAUAAGCAUCGGCUAACUCCGUGCCAGCAGCGGC
This 511-nucleotide ribosomal RNA is filed under the name uncultured bacterium. RNAcentral describes it as "bacterial SSU rRNA". It matches the Rfam family "Bacterial small subunit ribosomal RNA", at positions 19 to 518 of the family's 1533-position model. The record is from RNAcentral.